GACGAACGCUGGCGGCGUGCUUAACACAUGCAAGUCGAACGGAAAGGCCCUGCUUUUGUGGGGUGCUCGAGUGGCGAACGGGUGAGUAACACGUGAGUAACCUGCCCUUGACUUUGGGAUAACUUCAGGAAACUGGGGCUAAUACCGGAUAGGAGCUCCUGCUGCAUGGUGGGGGUUGGAAAGUUUCGGCGGUUGGGGAUGGACUCGCGGCUGAUCAGCUUGUUGGUGGGGUAGUGGCUUACCAAGGCUUUGACGGGUAGCCGGCCUGAGAGGGUGACCGGCCACAUUGGGCCUGAGAUACGGCCCAGACUCCUACGGGAGGCAGCAGUGGGGAAUAUUGCACAAUGGGCGGAAGCCUGAUGCAGCAACGCCGCGUGCGGGAUGACGGCCUUCGGGUUGUAAACCGCUUUCGCCUGUGACGAAGCGUGAGUGACGGUAAUGGGUAAAGAAGCACCGGCUAACUACGUG
RNAcentral lists this ribosomal RNA (468 nucleotides) under uncultured bacterium. Its description in RNAcentral is "partial 16S ribosomal RNA". It matches the Rfam family "Bacterial small subunit ribosomal RNA", at positions 28 to 507 of the family's 1533-position model. The record is from RNAcentral.